AGCUUCUGGGAGAACAUCCUCUGGUCCCUGCUGAUCCAAAACUGAAGCUUUUGAUGUGACCUGACAAAAAGCUUCAGUUUUGGAUCAGCAGGGACCAGAGGACGUUCUCCCAGAAACU
Non-coding RNA from Xyrichtys novacula (pearly razorfish), 118 nucleotides. The record is from the annotation of a GenBank genome assembly. Lineage: Eukaryota; Metazoa; Chordata; Actinopteri; Labriformes; Labridae.